AUUGAACGCUGGCGGCAUGCUUUACACAUGCAAGUCGAACGGCAGCGCGGGCUUCGGCCUGGCGGCGCGUGGCGAACGGGUGAGUAAUACAUCGGAACGUGCCCUGUAGGCGGGGAUAGCUCGGCGAAAGCCGGGUUAAUCCCUCAUACGAUCUCAGGGUGAAAGCGGGGGAUCGUUGGAGCUCGCGUUGUUGGAACGGCCGAGGGUAGCUUUGCUAGCUGGUGGGGUAAAGGCCUACCAUGGCGUCGAUUUGUAGCUGGUCUGUGAGGAGGACAAGCCACACUGGGAUUGAGACACGGCCGAUACUCCUACGAGAGGCAGCAGUGGAGAAUUUUGGACAACGGGCGCAAGCCUGGUCCAGCAAUGGCGCGUGUAUGAUGAAGGACUUCGGGUUGUAAAGCACUUUUGGCGGGAACGAAAAGGACUGUACCAACAUCAUGGUUCAAUGACGGUACCCGAAGAAUAAGCGCCGGCUAACUACGUG
Molecule: ribosomal RNA, 484 nt
Filed under: uncultured bacterium
Lineage: Bacteria
Description: partial 16S ribosomal RNA
Rfam family: Bacterial small subunit ribosomal RNA
Source: RNAcentral